UGCCUUUCUUCCUUGCGCAUCACACCCGGACCCGAUAGCCCGCCCGAGCCGAGAGAGAGAGACCGCCUCACCCUCACAGAAACCCCCACCCAUCGUCAACCUUCACAUCGCCGUCGCCGUCGGAGCCGGACGCCUUCGUCGUCAAUUUCUCCCCCCCGACCCAACACCCAGCCCCCCUCACUCGUCGUCGUCGUCGAAGCAUCAACCCUAGGCCCCUAGGUCUUUGGCUGCUAACCCUCACCUUGCCAUCGACGCAUCGUCGUCCUCGUCAGACCCAAGCCCCUUCAAGCCCUUCACCGUCGGCUUCUUCCCCACCCAAGUCCAACACGGCAACACCCAGCCCCCCUGGCCCCUGCACUCGAUAGCCCGAGACCCAGCCCCCCGGUCGUCGAAGCAUCGACCCUAGCCCUAGGUCACCGGCUAACCGAACCCUCACGUCGUCCUCGCCCUCGCCGUCAGACCCAAACACCUUCACCGUCGGCUUCUCCCCCGCCCAACACCCAGCCCCCCUGCACCUGAUAGUCCGAGACCCAGCCCCCCCACCCUGUCGAACGCGACAGCAAACCCUAAGCCAUUUCACCCUCCUCACCGUCAACAUCAACAAUCUGGUUGGUUUCGGCAACUUAGGAGUGAACGAUCUUGCGGGUAUCGCCGUCAUCGAUUUGAGAAGGACUAGGUGAUUGGAAAAUUUGAAAGCAACAGCUGUGCUCUCAAAAAUAAUUGUAUGGAUUUGGAAACAGAAAACAGGAUAGCUGCUAUUCUCAUGAAAGAGGCAGUGGAAUUACGGCAACAAGCUGAGAAAGAGGGCGUGCAUGCUUAUCUUAGGAAGCCUCAGGUUAGGGGUAGACCAAAUUCACGUUUCCUCACAGCAACUGUCCUUGGUGUACAACAGGCAAAUAGAGUUGUGGAGGUCAAUGAGAUGUGGCGCGUGCGACAGAAGGAACUGCAACUGGAUAAUAGGCUUAAAGGGAGAUCUGAAGAUGACAGCAGCACUGGUGGCACGUACAGAGACAUGAAUGAUUCACAAAGGGCUACAAGUAUUAAAACAAGUGCUGGUGCUUCACAUUCAUCAAGUAAAAGAGCUAUGCAAGAUUGCCAUUCUAGGGAUGAUGGUUUGAAGGAUGAAGACAUUGAGGAAUUUCUACAGUCAAGGUCCACCCCCCUGCACGUCGAACACACCCACCAAAGAGGGGUCAAGCGCGGUAGGGGCUCUGUUGGUUCACGGAUGGAUGAAACUGGUCCAUAUAUUCCCCCUUCUCCAGAUUCCCGGGCAAAGCAUUUAGCUAACCAUGAUGGGGGCAGCAGUGGAGUCUCCGAACAUCACAUCAGACUUGGUCCAAAGAAGCCUUCUUAUCUAAAGUCUCAUGCGUCUCCUGAAAAGGAGUCUGUUGAGGGUGAGUGGAAGGAAGAAAAGAAAGUUGGCUCAAGCAAGAAACACUUGAGAAAACACAGGUCAAAAGAUAAGUCCAGAGAUAAGAAGAUGAAGAAGAAAAAGAGGGAGGAAAAAAGAUAUAGGCAUCGCAAGGAUUUGUAAAUUUUCUCACCUUCCAAUUUUACAAUGACGGGUGGAUCGCUGGGUUGGAAAAUCUGUUGGUUUGUAUCAUAGUUUGUCUUUGUACAAUACGCAAAUGAUUUAGUCAGUGAUAUCUGCUCUAGGUCGUGCAGAAAUGGGGGAAGGAAUGAUGUACUUGAAGAAAAAUCAAUGAUUGUGGACGACUGUUUGUAGGUGACUUCUUGGGACUAGAGCAGCCUGAUGUUUGGUGGCAAAGCACACUCACUGCAAGGAUUCGGCUGGAGUGGAGGCUGGAGAGCGGCUGCCAAAUUCACAAAAAUUAUUAUUGUUGCUUCACAAUCAACCAGAAAUGGACAACUUGUCAAGAGUGUUUUAAGGCAUAUUUGGGCUUGGGGUUGCAAGGUUUGGAUGGAGCUUAUGCGCUAUCAAGUAUCAAUCAAUUUAAAAAUAAAACAGGUCCUCUUCCAAGUUCAAGGGGCCUGGCCUAGAAUAGGGAAAGUGCGCAUGCAUACUAGUUAAUUGGACUUGGACACCAUCAUCUGGGUCUUCUUGUAACCCAACACACGUUUCAGGAAGUUUUCCACUUUUUUUCUAUACCCAUUGCCCCGUGCCCGUAAUGUAUAAAGUUACGCCUAUUAAUUG
This is an RNA transcript of Diospyros lotus (date-plum), 2155 nucleotides long. RefSeq lists it as uncharacterized. The transcript has 6 exons. The record is from RefSeq and is a predicted model, not a curated record. Lineage: Eukaryota; Viridiplantae; Streptophyta; Magnoliopsida; Ericales; Ebenaceae.